GUAGUUAUUCUGUUAGUAAGUCUAACCCACUCGCUCAAAGUGUCUGGUCACUAUUGGGUUAACUCUCCGCGAGUUCUUUCUUUAGGACCUGUCGGCACCUGUACUGACGUCAGAGCCGAGCCUCCGCUCGUUAGAGUGACGGAAAAGCGCGAAGGAGAAGCAAAGAGAGUCACGCGUGUGUUUGGGGAGACCGAGAGCUCGGAGAAAACUGUCCAAAAAGAGAGGAAAAGUGUGUUCGUUGGCAGAGCCGGAUACUUGUUGAUGUAGCUUUGAAACUCCGGCUGUUUCUUUGCUGUGCUGAGCGUGUGAAGAAGCGAUGGCGAACCAGACCCGCGGAAGACUGGCCAGGGUCCUCACGGAGAAGUCAUCUCACAGCACCUGGGAUUUCCAGAGUUUGGACACGGCUUUGGAGUCGACCAGUUUGAAGAUGCCCUUCUCCCUCUGCAUCCACUUGAUGUACCUGGGACAUGUGUUUUUGUCCUGCAGCAGUUCCAGCAGAAACUCCCACAG
Molecule: long non-coding RNA, 510 nt
Organism: Scatophagus argus
Lineage: Eukaryota; Metazoa; Chordata; Actinopteri; Scatophagidae
Exons: 3
Source: RefSeq, a predicted model, not a curated record